UACGAAGGGGGCUAGCGUUGCUCGGAAUCACUGGGCGUAAAGCGCACGUAGGCGGCUUUCUAAGUCAGGGGUGAAAUCCUGGAGCUCAACUCCAGAACUGCCCUUGAUACUGGAAAGCUUGAGUUCGGGAGAGGUGAGUGGAACUGCGAGUGUAGAGGUGAAAUUCGUAGAUAUUCGCAAGAACACCAGUGGCGAAGGCGGCUCACUGGCCCGAUACUGACGCUGAGGCGCGAAAGCGUGGGGAGCAAACGGG
RNAcentral lists this ribosomal RNA (253 nucleotides) under uncultured bacterium. RNAcentral describes it as "partial 16S ribosomal RNA". It matches the Rfam family "Bacterial small subunit ribosomal RNA", at positions 524 to 776 of the family's 1533-position model. The record is from RNAcentral.